UUCUUUCUCGUUGAAAAUUUUCGUACCGCAUUUUCUCUCUCUCGUUGAAAGUUUCGGACAUUAUCAUCUUCUCCAUUUCUUCUUAUGCUUUACUGUCAUCUUGCUGAAAUUAUCCACAAAAUCACUUUAAAUCACCUUUUUCAUCCCUAAUUUGAGCUACCCAAAGGAUUUGGGCAACUUUAGUGACCUCGCAAAUAGCAAAAAUCCCUAGAUUGGUGCUGCACUUGCUUGCUGGCAAGAACACAGAAAAUUGGCCGUGAAUUUUGGGGGAAAGCCAGAGUUCGAAGACUGAAUCUUAAGGAAAACAAGAGCUAAGGGAGUGAAGGCAUAAUUUGAGACGGCGAUAGCCGCUUGACUGGCAAUGAUGCUAUGAAAAUUUUCGCCAUGUCCAAUUUGUCUAGGCCUGAACUCAAGCAGGUAUAUUCUGUUAUGUGUCUGGAUGGGGAAUUAUUGUACGCACAUAGUAGGUAGGUGAUGUGGAUGAAUAAUUUAAUAUCGAUUAUGGAAAGGACCUUCUCUCUCUCUCUCUCGGAGGAAAAAUGUUAAAUGUGCGACUGGUCUACUGCUUAAGAAAUAUUAUUAGUAUAGUCGAUUUGGAGUUUUUUUUAAUUGUUUUGGUUAUUGGUUUAGUAAGUGAGUCGAAGUGCUAGAUUUAUGAAAUCUGAUGUACCUGUAUCUGCGUUUUAAUUUUAUGCACUCCAAAGUGGAAAUUGUCAAUGUCAAAGGCAGUUUUGAUAUAUUCAUCUACCAGCGGAAAACUCUAAUUGCCGUUAGGAGAUGAAAUUGAAUUACUAAGACAUUGAAGGAUUUUACCUUCGAAAUUUUUGUUAUCUCUCUUUUGCUGUUUACCUUUAUUGCAUUGAUCAUCGUCCUUACCAGGGUUUUAGAGCCAUAGCGAGCCAUAUUUCUUUUCAAUUGCUGGACUUAUGGAUUAUCCGUUCUCUAGUUUGUUUGACCAUUGUGAUUGCUACCACAGUUGGUAAUUUGCUCUUGAAACAUGUUUGUUAGCGUAUUUGAAGUGGCAGAGGAGUUUGAAUUGAACUCCAGAUAUGUUGAAUCCACAAUUUCUUAUGUUGUCUUGGGAACAUUGUUGGCUGCUUUGGUCCCUGUUCUGGGCUUUAAUCCGGUCAUGGCAUCCGAGCAUUUUGCUUCAUUUUUGGGUAAUUUGCUGUGCCAUGGUGACUGUACUUAUAGCAUUAGUAGCCUCCAGCCCAACUAAGGGUUGGAGUGGGCGUAGUCUAAGUCUGCUUGAUCCGCAUGCUUUUUGCCACUUUCUGAUGCAAGCUCCUUUAGCAUCCUUUACAUAGUUACAUUAGUAUAUUUUUCAGGUGUCAUGGUGCCACUAAUGCUUGUACUUGGUCCAGCAGUAUGCAAAAUGCCUGGAAUUUCUCUU
This is a non-coding RNA of Coffea arabica (coffee), 1393 nucleotides long. The record is from RefSeq and is a predicted model, not a curated record. NCBI's taxonomy places the organism in Eukaryota, Viridiplantae, Streptophyta, Magnoliopsida, Gentianales, Rubiaceae.